CAGUCGCCGCGGGAAUACGUAGGGUGCAAGCGUUAAUCGGAAUUACUGGGCGUAAAGCGUGCGCAGGCGGUUUGUUAAGACAGAUGUGAAAUCCCCGGGCUCAACCUGGGAACUGCAUUUGUGACUGGCAAGCUAGAGUGUGUCAGAGGAUGGUGGAAUUCCCGGUGUAGCGGUGAAAUGCGUAGAGAUCGGGAGGAACAUCAGUGGCGAAGGCGGCCAUCUGGGACAACACUGACGCUGAGGCACGAAAGCGUGGGGAGCAAACAGGAUUAGAUACCCCUGUAGUCCCUGUCCCUUAUAC
This 301-nucleotide ribosomal RNA is filed under the name uncultured bacterium. Its description in RNAcentral is "partial 16S ribosomal RNA". It matches the Rfam family "Bacterial small subunit ribosomal RNA", at positions 509 to 807 of the family's 1533-position model. The record is from RNAcentral.